This 382-nucleotide ribosomal RNA is filed under the name uncultured eukaryote. RNAcentral describes it as "partial 18S ribosomal RNA". It matches the Rfam family "Eukaryotic small subunit ribosomal RNA", at positions 592 to 976 of the family's 1831-position model. The record is from RNAcentral.
UGUAAGCGUAUACCAAAGUUGUUGCAGUUAAAACGCUCGUAGUCGGAAUUUGGCAGUUCCGGAUGUGUGCACGUCGUGUGCGCACUUCGCGGGGAUUGCUUUUGUGGUCUUGCGUAGGAUGAGGCACUUUUAUUAGUGAACGUCCUCACGCAACCACUUUUUACUGUGAGAAAAUCAGAGUGCUCAAAGCAGGCAUUUGCUGUGAAUGUAUUAGCAUGGAAUAAUAGAAUAGGACUUGGUUCUAUUUUGUUGGUUUGUUGGGACUGAGUAAUGAUUAAGAGGGACAGUUGGGGGCAUUUGUAUUUCGGUGCUAGAGGUGAAAUUCUUAGAUUACCGAAAGACAAACUGCUGCGAAAGCGUCUGCCAAGGAUGUUUUCAUUGA